This 3986-nucleotide long non-coding RNA is filed under the name Sus scrofa (pig). RNAcentral's name for it is "lncRNA (ENSSSCG00030001216.1)". Lineage: Eukaryota; Metazoa; Chordata; Mammalia; Artiodactyla; Suidae. The record is from RNAcentral.
GUUGAGGUGAGUACAUAGCUCAAAGUCAAUAUAAUUUAUACCUGAAAUACUCCAAGGGGUGUGUGUGUGUGUGUGUGUGUGUGUGUGUGUGUGUGUAUGUUUUAAAGGCAAAAACAAGGAAGCAAAUUUAGGAAGAAAAAGAAAGUCUUUCUUAGUCUUUUCUCGUUUUUAGAUUAUCCAUUAUGUCUCAGACCCCAAAUGCUGUGUUCAAAAGAAUCUGAUCCUGGAAUGCUUUGAACAUUUAAACUAUUUUGUUCAUUAAGAACUCCUCUUGUUUUCUGUGAUAUCCUUUCAGUGAUCACAUUUUGACUCUCAUGUUCCUAUUUGUAGAUUGAUAGCUCUUAGUUUCUGGUGACAGUGACCCAGUUAUGACUCAGUUAUAUAUAACAAUCUUUGGCUUGAUUAUUUUGAAGUUACAUAUACUUUGGCACGAAUAAUUAUAUUGACCAGGACCUCAUAUUAAAAUGCUAACCGUGGGAGUCCCCAUCAUGGCGCAGCAGAAACGUAUCCAACUAGGAACCAUGAGGUUGUGGUUUCAAUGUCUGUCCCUGCUCAAUGGGUUGGGGAUCUGGCGUUGCUGUGGCUGUGGGUAGACCAGAGGCUACAGCUCCGAUUGGACCCCUGGCCUGGGAACCUCCAUAUGCUGCAGGUGCGGCCCUAAAAAGACACACACACACACACACACACACACACACACACACACACAAUGCUAACCAUGUAAUAUUUUUUUCCAUAAGUGAAAAAUGGAAGACUCAGUUAACUUGGAGUUUUUUAAAAAAAUAUUUGAAUUCAAUUUCGGAACUUGCUUUCCCUCAGGUUAAGCCACUCUGAUUAUUUAUUUCAAUUCUAUUUGUCCUGAGAAUAGACUUCAUUUUUUUUUUUACUUUGUAUUAUUUGCUAUAUGAGGAUUACUUUCCAAAUGAUAAGGUUGCAGUUAGAAGAUAGAAGAUGCAGUUUUGAAGUUCCAAUACUGAAAACUUUGUUAGACCAUGAUAAAAACACAAGAAACACAUAGCUUCUGAUUGAGAGAAGGUUUCUGCUUAAAGAGUCAAAUCAUACAUAACCUGACCUAGUGACGACCCAUCCGCUCUGGUCCUGGUAAUGCUUUUGGAAAGUUUCAGAAAGUUAGUGCUGAUCCCAUCUCUGUCCACAGCUCAGCACCUGUUUCUUUAGGGCCUGGAAUCCCUAUUAGGAGGAUUAGCUCUUUGCUGACUUUGGGUUUUCUCUGCUCUUGGUGCUAAUUGUAAUAAACAAGAAUAAUAGCUACUGUGUUUGGGGCACUUACUGUAGGCCAGCAGCGCUGAGAAGUGGUUUAUGUGAAUAAUUUCAUUCAACAACUCUAGGAGAAGGGCACUACUGUCGCCAUCACUUUACAUGGGAGGAAAGAACCUCUCAGAGAGGUUGAGUAACUUUCCCAAGGUCUCUCAGCCCAGCAGCAAUCUCACAAGGGGACGCAGACCUUGUUGAACUUUCAGCCCCCACAGGUCACUUCCUUUGGGCAUUUAGGCCCAUGAACACCUUCUCAAAUGGUUUCCCUCGCGGUGCGAGAAUUCCUUUUCUUUCAAUAAUCUACUUAGGUUUAAAAGUUGCCCUCAUUUUCAGCAAGGUCUCCCCUUGGGGUGGGAAAGAGUUAACACAGAAAAUGGAGUGAACACAGAUCACACUCUUUGGUGUAUGUCUUUGAUUAAAAGCAACAACACAGCGCCACCACCAAAUAUCACCCUAAAAACUUCUCUGCGAAGUCUCGAAGUAUCCUCUCUUGAACCUCCCCUGACUUUGUGUCUUUCGCUAAUAGACAAUAUAAUUUAUAAAAGUGUGAGCAACUGUGGAAUUGUUCUCCUAAUAGAUUCUGAGGAUUCCAAUUUCCAUGCCGCCACAGAAGACUGAAAAUCCACUUGUGCUCACUUAUCUGUAUCUGUACCUCAUCCGCACGCUGCAUCAAAAAUCAGGUUCAGGUGCAGGUUAAGAGCACACAUUUACCUCCAGAAUGUGGGACUUAUUAAAUAUCUCUCCACAAUUAACAUCACCAUAUCAAUAAGAAUUAUCAUUAGGUCCUGUCAAUCAGGGGCUGAAUUUUGCUUCAGGGAAACAAAACAAUUUAAAUUAUGGCAAGUGCUCCCCUUCUUUUUUUUUUUUUAACAUGCUUUUCUUUAAAUUGGAUAAUUAUGUGGCUUUUCAUUAGAUUCCUCUAAGCAUAAUAGAUCAUGAUAUUCACCCUUUGACCUCGGUGAUGAAUGUCUCUGGUGAAAACAUGUGACAAGCAGUGUUCUAAUGAGAACAAAAUACGGAAUAACUGGAAAUCUUGUGUAAUAAAAGGAGAAAGUAGGAGGGAACACAACAACCUUUAAGGUUGAGGCACAGAAUGUAAUUGUUUGGGGGAAAUGAUAUGGGCUAUUUUUGGUUCUAAUAAUAUGGAUGGAAAUGUGGAUUUUUCUUCUUUGGUGUGUAAAAAAGAAACAGACAUUUCAAGCAAGCUGCACAUCAGAAAAUACUGGUCUCCACUGAAUUGCAAGCACAGAUGGAGUGAAUCCACUGGCCUAAGGGGGGAUUCACAUGACUUGCUGCGUCUUGGAACACCUGCAGAUGGCUAUCUGAGGGUACCUCUCUUUUUAUUGCUGUCUUUAUGGGAGUUCCAAAUGUAAGGACAGCUUAAGAAGGAAGUGAUUUGGUCUUGAGGGAUCUAUAAUGUUAUAGGAGCUGUCAAGGAAGGACAGGAGGGCAAGGCGACUCACUGUCUCCUCGUCAUUGUCUGGGCCACCUGCCUUGUGGGACCGGGCACCCCGCACACCACUCAAGUUCUCAUUCCCUGAUGGCCAAAGGCACCCUGGGCCUGUGACAGUUGACCCGGAGAUGUAGCCAGAGGUCAAGAACAAGCUGAUGCCCUCUAACCUCUCUUUCUAGCUUCCUUCCCCAGCCCCCUACACACCCAGGGUCCCUUUAUGACUAGUUUUGGAGCUGACCCAGGCACUGCUUUCCCUCUGGUGGAAAAGGAUGGGAGAUUUCCUGUCAGGUGAGCGUGUGACAUUGUGAUGUGUCCGAGGGUCGUGGAAGUGAGUGGAGUUUGCUUUUCUUAGAUUUCCUAGAUCCUUGCCUGUCUGUCUGAUUUUGGUAUAUUCGGCACAAGAGCAGCCCAUUAUAAAGCUGUUUAUCGAAGGUAUGAAUUUGCUUCAACGUCUCAAGACAUGGAGUUUGAAACAGGAGUUAAUGCACAAGCUAGGUUGUGCUUGUUUAGGGGUUGAAGAAAGGGAGACAAAAGCCACCAUUUAUUAGACGCCUACUAUGGGCCAAGGGCAAAGGUCUGGAUAAAUGCUCACUGAUUUAAUUCUCUCAUCAAAUCUUAUCAUCCCAUGAUUUAGGAAAUGGCCCAACCAUGACCCACUAUUGUGGGUCAUAUUAUUACAUAAUAGAAGGACUGGGAUUUGACCAUAGGUUGGUCUGACUCCCAAGUUCAUGUCCUCCAAGUUAAAGGUAGCACAUGACAUAGUGCUGUUAUGUCUUCCAAGAACUGUGCCUUUAUCAUAAAAAUUCUCCCCAACUUACCUUUCCAGAUCUCACACUUGGAAUUGAGUUGGGUUAGCAUGGACUUAAUAUUAUUACUAGUCUUGCUACUUGUGCAAUGUACUUUGCUUAAGAGAAAACAUGCAAGAGGAGAAACAUCUGCCGCAUUAGUUGAUUUCUUCUGCUGAGUUCCAGUUUGGGGUAAGAAUUUGCAUGAGGGACGUGUGUGCUUAUAGAGGAUUAAGAAACUGACCAGGCUCGAAACCAUGGUUGCCUUUGUCUGUCUGCAGAUGGGGGCUGCUGAAGGUGAACUCACCCCGGGCCCCAUUCCUGACCUCCACCAGGUGGGCUUGAGCAGAGACCGCCUCAGGGCCAGCAGUCCUUCACCUCUUUCCACAAGAGCUUGCCAGGAAGAGAACCCUCUGAAGUCCAUUCUGAGCUCUCAGCCUGGGAUUUACCCGCCAUUUGUCACGGACAUCAGGCAAUUA